AUUGAACGCUGGCGGCAGGCCUAACACAUGCAAGUCGAACGGUAACAGGAAACAGCUUGCUGUUUCGCUGACGAGUGGCGGACGGGUGAGUAAUGUCUGGGAAACUGCCUGAUGGAGGGGGAUAACUACUGGAAACGGCAGCUAAUACCGCAUAACGUCGCAAGACCAAAGAGGGGGACCCUCGGGCCUCUUGCCAUCGGAUGUGCCCAGAUGGGAUUAGCUUGUUGGUGGGGUAACGGCUCACCAAGGCGACGAUCCCUAGCUGGUCUGAGAGGAUGACCAGCCACACUGGAACUGAGACACGGUCCAUACUCCUACGGGAGGCAGCAGUGGGGAAUAUUGCACAAUGGGCGCAAGCCUGAUGCAGCCAUGCCGCGUGUAUGAAGAAGGCCUUCGGGUUGCAAAGUACUUUCAGCGGGGAGGAAGGGAGUAAAGUUAAUACCUUUGCUCAUUGACGUUACCCGCAGAAGAAGCACCGGCUAACUCCGUG
Molecule: ribosomal RNA, 490 nt
Filed under: uncultured bacterium
Lineage: Bacteria
Description: partial 16S ribosomal RNA
Rfam family: Bacterial small subunit ribosomal RNA
Source: RNAcentral